RNAcentral lists this ribosomal RNA (253 nucleotides) under uncultured bacterium. RNAcentral's name for it is "partial 16S ribosomal RNA". It matches the Rfam family "Bacterial small subunit ribosomal RNA", at positions 524 to 776 of the family's 1533-position model. The record is from RNAcentral.
UACGGAGGGGGCUAGCGUUGUUCGGAAUUACUGGGCGUAAAGCGCGUGUAGGCGGCUUUGCAAGUCGGGUGUGAAAGCCCUCAGCUCAACUGAGGAAGUGCGCCCGAAACUGCAGAGCUUGAGUACCGGAGAGGAUGGCGGAAUUCCCCAAGUAGAGGUGAAAUUCGUAGAUAUGGGGAGGAACACCGGUGGCGAAGGCGGCCAUCUGGACGGUCACUGACGCUGAGACGCGAAAGCGUGGGUAGCAAACAGG